This 490-nucleotide ribosomal RNA is filed under the name uncultured bacterium. RNAcentral's name for it is "partial 16S ribosomal RNA". It matches the Rfam family "Bacterial small subunit ribosomal RNA", at positions 30 to 507 of the family's 1533-position model. The record is from RNAcentral.
AUUGAACGCUGGCGGCAGGCCUAACACAUGCAAGUCGAACGGUAACAGGAAGCAGCUUGCUGCUUCGCUGACGAGUGGCGGACGGGUGAGUAAUGUCUGGGAAACUGCCUGAUGGAGGGGGAUAACUACUGGAAACGGUAGCUAAUACCGCAUAACGUCGCAAGACCAAAGAGGGGGACCUUAGGGCCUCUUGCCAUCGGAUGUGCCCAGAUGGGAUUAGCUAGUAGGUGGGGUAACGGCUCACCUAGGCGACGAUCCCUAGCUGGUCUGAGAGGAUGACCAGCCACACUGGAACUGAGACACGGUCCAGACUCCUACGGGAGGCAGCAGUGGGGAAUAUUGCACAAUGGGCGCAAGCCUGAUGCAGCCAUGCCGCGUGUAUGAAGAAGGCCUUCGGGUUGUAAAGUACUUUCAGCGGGGAGGAAGGGAGUAAAGUUAAUACCUUUGCUCAUUGACGUCACCCGCAGAAGAAGCACCGGCUAACUCCGUG